Molecule: non-coding RNA, 21 nt
Filed under: Arabidopsis thaliana (thale cress)
Lineage: Eukaryota; Viridiplantae; Streptophyta; Magnoliopsida; Brassicales; Brassicaceae
Source: RNAcentral
UAUGGAUACGGUGCUUUACCC